UGGGGAAUAUUGGACAAUGGGCGAAAGCCUGAUCCAGCAAUGCCGCGUGAGUGAUGAAGGCCUUAGGGUUGUAAAGCUCUUUUAAUAGGGAAGAUAAUGACGGUACCUAUAGAAAAAGCCCCGGCUAACUUCGUGCCAGCAGCCGCGGUAAUACGAAGGGGGCUAGCGUUGUUCGGAAUUACUGGGCGUAAAGAGCGCGUAGGCGGUAUGUAAAGUUGGAAGUGAAAUCCCGAGGCUUAACCUCGGAACUGCUUUCAAAACUUACAGACUAGAGAGCGAUAGAGGAUGGUGGAAUUCCUAGUGUAGAGGUGAAAUUCUUAGAUAUUAGGAGGAACACCGGUGGCGAAGGCGGCCAUCUGGGUCGUUUCUGACGCUGUGGCGCGAAAGCGUGGGGAGCAAACAGG
This 404-nucleotide ribosomal RNA is filed under the name uncultured bacterium. RNAcentral describes it as "bacterial SSU rRNA". It matches the Rfam family "Bacterial small subunit ribosomal RNA", at positions 355 to 776 of the family's 1533-position model. The record is from RNAcentral.